GGCCAGACUCCUACGGGAGGCAGCAGUGGGAGAUAUUGCACAAUGGGGGAAACCCUGAUGCAGCGACGCCGCGUGGGCGAAGAAGUACUUCGGUAUGUAAAGCCCUAUCAGCAGGGAAGAAGAAAUGACGGUACCUGAGUAAGAAGCACCGGCUAAAUACGUGCCAGCAGCCGCGGUAAUACGUAUGGUGCAAGCGUUAUCCGGAUUUACUGGGUGUAAAGGGAGCGCAGGCGGCACGGCAAGCCUGAUGUGAAAGCCCGCGGCCCAACCGCGGGACUGCAUUGGGAACUACCGGGCUGGAGUGCCGGAGAGGUAGGCGGAAUUCCUAGUGUAGCGGUGAAAUGCGUAGAUAUUAGGAGGAACACCAGUGGCGAAGGCGGCCUACUGGACGGUGACUGACGCUGAGGCUCGAAAGCGUGGGGAGCAAACAGGAUUAGAUACCCUUGUA
RNAcentral lists this ribosomal RNA (448 nucleotides) under uncultured bacterium. RNAcentral's name for it is "bacterial SSU rRNA". It matches the Rfam family "Bacterial small subunit ribosomal RNA", at positions 329 to 792 of the family's 1533-position model. The record is from RNAcentral.